AUGUCCAAGAAAAUUACCCACUGCUCCUCUGUCGAGGUUGCUGAGGCUGCGUUACUCGCUGGGCUGAUGGCCCUGUCUUCGACGUACAGGGGGGCACUGAUUGCUGAGACUGGUUUCCUUUUCCUGUCAAAGGAACUCCAACAUGAGGCUGUUAAUCUCUCUGCCUGUUUCCCAAUGAUCCAUGGUAUUAAAGAGGUGAUAAGUUCUUUUGCUUCAGUUCAGUUCAAUCAUGUUAAAAGGAACAAGAAUAAUAUUGUGCAUGAACUUGCUGCUCUUACCAGAACGAGCAGUAUAUUAAAGAGGAUUUGUUCAUGGUCGCUGGAGAGAGACAUACUGGAUCUUCAUGUAAUCCCGGUCAAUGAGUAA
Molecule: ribosomal RNA, 366 nt
Filed under: Triticum aestivum (bread wheat)
Lineage: Eukaryota; Viridiplantae; Streptophyta; Magnoliopsida; Poales; Poaceae
Description: partial small subunit ribosomal RNA
Source: RNAcentral